CUGUUCAGAUAGCCAUGCACGUCUAAGUACAAACUAAAUGAUGGUGAAACUGCAAAUGGCUCAUUACAACGGUUAUGAUGUACCCGGGAGUUCCGAUGGAUAUUUCCAGUAACACUAGAACUAAUACAUGUCCCUGCGUUUAUUAGUUUCGCACAGUCCGUCGCUGAGUCAUGGUAAACAGUUGAUCGACUCGACGUCCCGGAACAGUUUCCGCCCCAUCAGCUUCGAUGGUUGGGUAUUGGCCUACCAUUGCAACAACGGGUAACGAGGAAUUAGGGUUUGAUUUCGGAGAGGGAGCCUGAGAAACGGCUACCACAUCUACGGAUGGCAGCAGGCGCGCAAAUUACCCAAUGCAGACACUGUGAGGUAGUGACGAGAAAUAAUAAAGCGGGACUUCUGUUUCGCUAUUAUAAUGAGGAAUAACCAAAGGUCAUUCCGAUUAGCAACUGAUGGGAAAGUCUGGUGCCAGCAGCCGCGGUAAUACCAGCGUCAGUAGCAUA
Molecule: ribosomal RNA, 500 nt
Filed under: uncultured Myrionecta
Lineage: Eukaryota; Ciliophora; Litostomatea; Cyclotrichida; Mesodiniidae
Description: SSU rRNA
Rfam family: Eukaryotic small subunit ribosomal RNA
Source: RNAcentral